This 474-nucleotide ribosomal RNA is filed under the name uncultured bacterium. Its description in RNAcentral is "SSU rRNA". It matches the Rfam family "Bacterial small subunit ribosomal RNA", at positions 26 to 518 of the family's 1533-position model. The record is from RNAcentral.
AGAAUCAACGCUGGCGGCGUGCCUAACACAUGCAAGUCGAACGAGAAAGGGGAGCAAUCCCUGAGUACAGUGGCGACCGGGUGAGUAACACGUGACCAAUCUACCUUCGAGUGGGGGAUAACUCCGGGAAACCGGGGCUAAUACCGCAUAACAUCUUUGGAAUGCAAAUUCCGUUGAUCAAAGGAGCAAUUCGCUUGAAGAGGAGGUCGCGGCUGAUUAGCUAGUUGGCGGGGUAAUGGCCCACCAAGGCGAAGAUCGGUAUCCGGCCUGAGAGGGCGCACGGACACACUGGAACUGAAACACGGUCCAGACUCCUACGGAGGCAGCAGUGGGGAAUUUUGCGCAAUGGGGAAACCCUGACGCAGCAACGCCGCGUGGAGGAUGAAGUCCCUUGGGACGUAAACUCCUUUCGACCAAGACGAUAAUGACGGUACUGGUGGAAGAAGCACCGGCUAACUCUGCGCCAGCAGCCGC